RNAcentral lists this long non-coding RNA (697 nucleotides) under Marmota monax (woodchuck). The record is from RNAcentral. Lineage: Eukaryota; Metazoa; Chordata; Mammalia; Rodentia; Sciuridae.
UUUUAGUGUACUAAAAUUACUUUAACUAAUUUUAACUUUUUGAUUGCUAAAAAGACUUCACCCAGAUUUUAAGUUAAACAAGUGUUGGCUGUAUUGUAAAUAUAUAUAUAUAUAGUUUUUUUUUUUUUUUAUGCUGAGGAUUGAACCCAGGGCUUUGUGCAUGCAAGCCAAGCACUCUACCAAUUGAGCUAUAUCCCCAGCCCAGUUAAAUUGUUAAUAAGGCAUUCCUCAGCUUGAAAACACCCCACUUACAAAGUGUCCUUAUGCAAAUGGAGAACUUUGAGGGAGACUCCUGCAGAGCGUAAGCCGCAUCCCAAGAAACAUCCUAGACCAGUAAGAUCGGGAAAACAAGGCUUUGGAGGGCGGGGAUCUCUCCCUUAACACUAUUUUUGAUGGAAAAUGCUUUCUGAAUUGUUGGAACAAGCAUCCUAAAUUUUUUUUUCUAAAAAAAAGCCCAUCUAUGUUUGGGGCUUCCUAACAUUCUAAAAUGUUAGGAAUAUGAGUAUGACUUAGUGAUUGUGGUUUUAAAAUAUAUGAGUAUGACUUAGUGAUUGUGGUUUUAAAAUCACAUCUUCAAUGUGGUUUAAAAGAUUUUUUUUAUGUCAAAAAUAAAAAAAAAUCUGUAAACAAACAAAAUGCUCCAGAGAAUUAGAAUUUUUAUGUCAAUUCGGACAUUAAGAAGUCUUUGAGAAUAAAA